GUCACUGCUAGGGAGGUUAUGUCUUCUUCAAGUCACUACUAGGGAGGUUCUGGAUGUUCUGUCUUCAUCAAGCCACUACUAAGGAGGUUCUGUCUUCAUCGUGUCACUACUAGGGAGGUUCUGGAGGUUCUGUCUUCAUCGUGUCACUACUACGGAGGUUCUGAAUGUUCUGUCUUCAUCAAGUCACUACUAGGGAGGUUCUGGAUGUUCUGUCUUUAUCAAGUCACUACUAGGGAGGUUCUGGAUGUUCUGUCUUUAUCAAGUCACUACUAGGGAG
Molecule: long non-coding RNA, 277 nt
Organism: Oncorhynchus tshawytscha (Chinook salmon)
Lineage: Eukaryota; Metazoa; Chordata; Actinopteri; Salmoniformes; Salmonidae
Source: Ensembl